CACAAGCGGUGGAGCAUGUGGUUUAAUUCGAUGACAACCGGAGAACCUCACCUUGGGUUGACAUGUACGUGGUACGGAUCUAGAAGGUGAAGGACGGUACCUUCGGGUACCGAGCGUACACAGGUGCUGCAUGGCUGUCGUCAGCUCGUGUCGUGAGAUGUUGGGUUAAGUCCCGCAACGAGCGCAACCCUACGCUGAGUUACCAGCACGUAAAGGUGGGGACUCUCAGUGGACUGCCGGCGACAAGCCGGAGGAGGGUGGGGACGACGUCAAGUCAUCAUGGCCCUCAUGUCCAGGGCGACACACGUGCUACAAUGGCCGGCACAACGGGAAGCGACGGCGCGAGUCGUAGCGGAUCCCUCAAAGCCGGUCCCAGUUCGGAUUGCAGUCUGCAACUCGACUGCAUGAAGCCGGAAUCGCUAGUAAUCGUGGAUCAGCCAAGCCGCGGUGAAUACGUUCCCGGCCUU
RNAcentral lists this ribosomal RNA (467 nucleotides) under uncultured Thermanaerovibrio sp. Its description in RNAcentral is "bacterial SSU rRNA". It matches the Rfam family "Bacterial small subunit ribosomal RNA", at positions 924 to 1381 of the family's 1533-position model. The record is from RNAcentral. Lineage: Bacteria; Thermotogati; Synergistota; Synergistia; Synergistales; Synergistaceae.